GAUUAUUUAUUAACCCCCCUUCAUGUUUUACACCGAAAUGCGUCGGUUCGAAGUAUAUCUUAUUUACAACGAAAUCGACAGAGCCUUGUGACAGUAGAUUGCACAGACACACGAAACGAUACAGGCGAGAACUGCGGUAAAAAAAAUACCGACGUACAAUAUGUCUACACAUCUUGAGUUCCGGGUACGAUUCUUGUGCGAAGGCAGACUACGAUAAUCCUCUGUUAGCAGACUUUCUUUAUCAUGCAAACAAACACCCUUGAUAGUGUCCAUAUUUGUUUAUCAAAUUUACAGUAUUUAAUGGAGUACGUAAACUGAUUACAAAUUCGUAGAAAAUA
Molecule: long non-coding RNA, 338 nt
Organism: Mercenaria mercenaria
Lineage: Eukaryota; Metazoa; Mollusca; Bivalvia; Venerida; Veneridae
Exons: 2
Source: RefSeq, a predicted model, not a curated record